This 253-nucleotide ribosomal RNA is filed under the name uncultured bacterium. Its description in RNAcentral is "partial 16S ribosomal RNA". It matches the Rfam family "Bacterial small subunit ribosomal RNA", at positions 524 to 776 of the family's 1533-position model. The record is from RNAcentral.
UACAGAGGUCCCAAGCGUUGUUCGGAUUCACUGGGCGUAAAGGGUGCGUAGGCGGCCGGGUAAGUCUGAUGUGAAAUCUCACAGCUUAACUGUGAAACUGCAUUGGAUACUAUCCGGCUCGAGGAAUGGAGGGGAGACUGGAAUACUUGGUGUAGCAGUGAAAUGCGUAGAGAUCAUGAGGAAGACCAGUGGCGAAGGCGGGUCUCUGGACAGUUCCUGACACUGAGGCACGAAGGCCAGGGGAGCAAACGGG